GGUUGGAUCAUUAAUGGAUACCUUAAUAGACCAGCAAGCAAAUGUUGUUUAUAGACUGGAUGUAUAAUUAGUGUAACAUGAGAAACGACAACUUUUGACAAUGGAUCUCUUGGUUCUCGCAACGAUGAAGAACGCAGCGAAAAGCGAAAAGUAAUGUGAAAUGCAGAAUACGGGAAUCAUUGAAUGUUUGAACGCAACUUGCACUUUGUUUCGACAGAGUAUGUCUGUUUGAGAAGUAGGACGAUUUGAACAAAGACAAUGGACUUGUUUUAAAGGGAUGGAGAAGAUUAAGCAAAUGAUUGCAACUUGGCAACAACAACAACACAUACUCUCAAAUCAGACAAGAGGACCCGCUGAACUUAAGCAUAUCAAUAAGCGGAGGAAAAGAAACUAACGAGGAUUCCCCUAGUAACGGCGAGUGAAGUGGGAAGAGCCCGAAUUUGAAAUCUCUCUUUGGAGCGAAUUGUAGUUUGUGUUUUCUUUGGGUUUACUUACCACAAGUUCUUUGGAACGAGACAUUGUAGAGGGUGAGAAUCCCGUGGUGGUGGGUAAAGCCAGUUGAGAGACACGGGGAUGAGUCGGUUUGUUUGGGAAUGCAGACCAAAAUGGGUGGUAAAUAGCAUCCAAGGCUAAAUAUUGGCGAGAGACCGAUAGCGGACAAGUACCGUGAGGGAAAGAUGAAAAGAACUUUGAAAAGAGAGUUAAACAGUACGUGAAAUUGUCAAAAGGGAAACGCUUGAAUGGUUCAAGGGGAGCGGAUAAUUUGGAUGUCGAUCCAUUGUAGUUUGUUCUCCUGGUCAACAUCAGUUUAUUGUUUAUUAGAAAGACCCAAGGUGACGCAAGUUAGAUUGGGUUCAUGAUAAAGAGUAGACUGAGGAAGGUAGGAUUUAGGGAAACUUGGCGAUUUAAGCAAAUUGGCAAGGUUACUACUUGCACUAUGGAUGUUGAUGUAAUGGGUUCAAGCGACCCGUCUUGAAACACGGACCAAGGAGUCUAGCAUGUGUGCGAGUAUUAGAGUGGGAAACUCGAAUGCGCAAUGAGAGUGAGGGGGUGGGAGAGUGGUUCGGCCACUUGCACCAUCGGCGGUUGGAAGAUUCAUCAGACCAAUCAGCAAGAGCAUGCAUGGUGGGACCCGAAAGAUGGUGAACUAUGCCUGAAUAGGGUAAAGCCAGAGGAAACUCUGGUGGAGGCUCGUAGCGGUUCUGACGUGCAAAUCGAUCGUCGAAUUUGGGUAUAGGGGCGAAAGACUAAUCGAACCAUCUAGUAGCUGGUUCCCUC
This 1278-nucleotide unclassified non-coding RNA is filed under the name uncultured fungus. Its description in RNAcentral is "sequence contains 18S rRNA gene, ITS1, 5.8S rRNA gene, ITS2, 28S rRNA gene". The stretch from base 327 to 1278 matches the Rfam family "Eukaryotic large subunit ribosomal RNA", at positions 1 to 961 of the family's 3401-position model. Lineage: Eukaryota; Fungi. The record is from RNAcentral.